GAUGAACGCUGGCGGCGUGCCUAAUACAUGCAAGUCGAGCGAACGGACGAGAAGCUUGCUCCUCUGAUGUUAGCGGCGGACGGGUGAGUAACACGUGGAUAACCUACCUAUAAGACUGGGAUAACUUCGGGAAACCGGAGCUAAUACCGGAUAAUAUAUUGAACCGCAUGGUUCAAAAGUGAAAGACGGUUUUGCUGUCACUUAUAGAUGGAUCCGCGCUGCAUUAGCUAGUUGGUAAGGUAACGGCUUACCAAGGCAACGAUGCAUAGCCGACCUGAGAGGGUGAUCGGCCACACUGGAACUGAGACACGGUCCAGACUCCUACGGGAGGCAGCAGUAGGGAAUCUUCCGCAAUGGGCGAAAGCCUGACGGAGCAACGCCGCGUGAGUGAUGAAGGUCUUCGGAUCGUAAAACUCUGUUAUUAGGGAAGAACAAAUGUGUAAGUAACUAUGCACGUCUUGACGGUACCUAAUCAGAAAGCCACGGCUAACUACGUG
Molecule: ribosomal RNA, 497 nt
Filed under: uncultured bacterium
Lineage: Bacteria
Description: partial 16S ribosomal RNA
Rfam family: Bacterial small subunit ribosomal RNA
Source: RNAcentral